RNAcentral lists this transfer RNA (73 nucleotides) under Candidatus Aenigmatarchaeota archaeon. Its description in RNAcentral is "tRNA-Gln". It matches the Rfam family "tRNA". From Rfam's summary of the family: Transfer RNA (tRNA) molecules are approximately 80 nucleotides in length. Their secondary structure includes four short double-helical elements and three loops (D, anti-codon, and T loops). Lineage: Archaea; Nanobdellati; Candidatus Aenigmatarchaeota. The record is from RNAcentral.
AGCCCUGUGGUGUAGAGGUCAAGCACGCGAGGCUCUGGACCUCGAGACCCCAGUUCGAAUCUGGGCGGGGCUA